AGCCCUGUAGUGUAGUUUCAUGCAGGAUUGCAAAUCCUGAGACGUAGGCUUCUCCCUGCCGGGGCUU
RNAcentral lists this transfer RNA (67 nucleotides) under Polypterus teugelsi. Its description in RNAcentral is "tRNA-Cys". It matches the Rfam family "tRNA". From Rfam's summary of the family: Transfer RNA (tRNA) molecules are approximately 80 nucleotides in length. Their secondary structure includes four short double-helical elements and three loops (D, anti-codon, and T loops). Lineage: Eukaryota; Metazoa; Chordata; Cladistia; Polypteriformes; Polypteridae. The record is from RNAcentral.